This 460-nucleotide ribosomal RNA is filed under the name uncultured bacterium. RNAcentral describes it as "partial 16S ribosomal RNA". It matches the Rfam family "Bacterial small subunit ribosomal RNA", at positions 338 to 795 of the family's 1533-position model. The record is from RNAcentral.
CCUACGGGAGGCUGCAGUGAGGAAUAUUGGUCAAUGGGCGCAAGCCUGACCCAGCCAAGUCGCGUGAGGGAUGACGGUCCUAUGGAUUGUAACCCUCUUUUGUCGGGGAGCAAGGCCCGCCACGUGUGGCGGGAAGGAGAGUACCCGAAGAAAAAGCAUCGGCUAACUCUGUGCCAGCAGCCGCGGUAAUACGGAGGUUGCGAGCGUUAUACGGAUGUAUUGGGUUAAAAGGGUGCGUAGGGGGAAGGGUAAGUAAGCGGUAAAAUGUCGGUGCCCAACCCCGGACUGCCGUUGAAACUGGUCGUCUUGAGUGAUCGAGAAGUAUGCGGAAUGCGUGGUGUAGCGGUGAAAUGCAUAGAUAUCACGCAGAACUCCGAUGGCGAAGGCAGCAUACCGGCGCUCAACUGACGCUGAGGCACGAAAGCGUGGGGAUCGAACAGGAUUAGAUACCCCAGUAGUC